UACGUAGGGGGCAAGCGUUGUCCGGAUUUAUUGGGCGUAAAGAGCUCGUAGGCGGUUUGGCAAGUCAGAUGUGAAAUCUCCAGGCUCAACCUGGAGGGGUCAUCUGAUACUGCCAUGACUAGAGGUCGGUAGGGGAGUGUGGAAUUCCUGGUGGAGCGGUGAAAUGCGCAGAUAUCGGGAGGAACACCUAUGGCGAAAGCAGCUGCCUGGGCCUUUACUGACGCUAAGACUCGAAAGCUAGGGGAGCAAACAGG
Molecule: ribosomal RNA, 254 nt
Filed under: uncultured bacterium
Lineage: Bacteria
Description: partial 16S ribosomal RNA
Rfam family: Bacterial small subunit ribosomal RNA
Source: RNAcentral